CUCGUAGGCGGUCUUGCAAGUUGGAUGUGAAAACCGAAGGCUCAACCUUCGGCCUGCAUCCAAAACUGCAAGUCUAGAGUACUGGAGAGGAUGGCGGAAUUCCUGGUGUAGCGGUGAAAUGCGUAGAUAUCAGGAGGAACACCGGUGGCGAAGGCGGUCAUCUGGACAGAUACUGACGCUGAGGAGCGAAGGCUAGGGUAGCAAACA
This 207-nucleotide ribosomal RNA is filed under the name uncultured bacterium. RNAcentral's name for it is "partial 16S ribosomal RNA". It matches the Rfam family "Bacterial small subunit ribosomal RNA", at positions 568 to 774 of the family's 1533-position model. The record is from RNAcentral.